CCUACGGGAGGCAGCAGUGAGGAAUAUUGGUCAAUGGACGCGAGUCUGAACCAGCCAAGUCGCGUGCGGGAAGAAGGCCCUCCGGGUCGUAAACCGCUUUAGCCGGGGAGUAACGUGGGGGUCGUGACCCUCAGUGAGAGUACCCGGAGAAUAAGCAUCGGCUAACUCCGUGCCAGCAGCCGCGGUAAU
RNAcentral lists this ribosomal RNA (189 nucleotides) under uncultured bacterium. RNAcentral describes it as "partial 16S ribosomal RNA". It matches the Rfam family "Bacterial small subunit ribosomal RNA", at positions 338 to 524 of the family's 1533-position model. The record is from RNAcentral.